Molecule: long non-coding RNA, 1529 nt
Filed under: Felis catus (domestic cat)
Lineage: Eukaryota; Metazoa; Chordata; Mammalia; Carnivora; Felidae
Description: lncRNA (ENSFCAG00000044713.2)
Source: RNAcentral
GUGGGACUGGUUACGUGGGGAUUCUGGGCUCCAAGGACAACCCUUCCGAGAGACGGGAAGUGGAAGCCGCCGGCCAGAGCCGGCACCGUGUUGGGGUCGCAGACCCUACCCCCUGCUGCGAGGACCGAGGAAGGCUUUGUGGGUCCCUUGUGGACCCCGCGCUGCACCACAUGACCAGGUGGCAGGACCCAGCACUCGGAGCUGGAGGGACCCCGCGAUGGAUAAACCCCAGCCCUGCUUUCCGAGAGCCCCCGGCCUUGCCGGGCAGAAGAGUGUUUGUGGGCCGACCACAGGAUCACACCCGGAGUGCGUCAUCCUGUGCGGGGCCUGGCGGUCUGUGGUGGGAACCCCGUGGAGAAUGAAGCGUCUGUCCUCCCUCUGGGGAAGCUGGGCUCCCCACGCCUGUGUGGUCGGCCGGGGUGGACUGAACCUCCCGCCUUCCCACGUGUCAAGGGCAUGGCCGCGAGCCGCCUCCCGUGUGCGAGGCAGAGACGAGGUUCUGCGGCAGAGGAGGCUGGAGCCUCGGGGCGCCGCGGAGGUCAGCGUGUGACAGCGGCCGGUGCCGUGCAGAGCAGAGGAUCAACACUGCCCGCGGUCCUGGCGGCUCCAGGAAUCCCUGGGCUCGUGGUCACAGCCCUCCAGUCUCUGCCUCUAUUCUCACAUGACCUGUGUCCCCAUGCCCCAAAUCUCACUCUCCUAUCUCUUUCAAGGAGGCUCGGCCGUGGAUUCUGUAAUCUAAUCACAUCUGCAAAGACCUAUUUCCAAAUAAGGUCGCGUUCACAGGGCGCAGGGGUGAGGACUCUUUUUAGGGGAUGCUUUUCAACUCACUGCUUCACACUGGAUAAAGGUGGCCCUACCCCCAACCACUGGUGACUUUGAAGAUGCAGGGAGGCCCCUUUGAAGACCAGUGGAGCCUGGCAGGAAGCCGCCACAGGCCAAGGAACAGCAGGGAUCUCUGGCCACCACAAGCUUGAGAAAGGGUCCUCCCUAGAGCCUUCAGAGGGAGCCCAGCCCCAGAAACCCCUGGAUUUUGGACUUUCGGCUUCCAGAACUGUGAGACAGUUCUGUGUUUCAAACCCCUACUUUGUGGCCAUUUGUAAUGGUGGCCCCAGGACCCUCGCACACCCUGUUGGUUCUUAUUUCUAAUAUGUUUCUAAUACAUUGCAACUGUGCACCCACCUGCUUGUUCUGUAUUUUCCUUACCAUUUGUUUCUGCCAUCUCCACCCGCAUCCUUGGCUGUGGCCCUCCCUCCAUGUCCAGAGCCAGCAGCAGGGGGCCUUCCCAGCUCCCUCUGACUCUGACUCCCGCCCCCUGUUGUAAGGAUCCCGUGAUGACACUGAGCCCAGCUUGAUAGCCCAGGAUGGUCUCUCCCUUCAAGACUCCUACUUAGCCCCACCUGCGAAGUCCGCUUUGCCCCCAGACAAGGUCACAUAGCCACAGAUUCCUUCUGGGAAUCGGGACACGGUUACCCUGUUGACCCCGUCACCAUCCUUCCCUCAGCCCACGGGGGGCCACAGUGCUCUCUCUC